GCACCGCUGGUGUAGUGACAUCAUGUGAGAUUCCCAUUCUUGCGACCUGGGUUCGUUUCCCAGGCGGCGCA
This 71-nucleotide transfer RNA is filed under the name Loxodonta africana (African savanna elephant). It matches the Rfam family "tRNA". From Rfam's summary of the family: Transfer RNA (tRNA) molecules are approximately 80 nucleotides in length. Their secondary structure includes four short double-helical elements and three loops (D, anti-codon, and T loops). The record is from Rfam by way of RNAcentral. Lineage: Eukaryota; Metazoa; Chordata; Mammalia; Proboscidea; Elephantidae.